Molecule: ribosomal RNA, 301 nt
Filed under: uncultured bacterium
Lineage: Bacteria
Description: partial 16S ribosomal RNA
Rfam family: Bacterial small subunit ribosomal RNA
Source: RNAcentral
CAGCAGCCGCGGUAAUACGUAGGUCCCGAGCGUUGUCCGGAAUUAUUGGGCGUAAAGCGCGCGCAGGUGGUUUAAUAAGUCUGAUGUGAAAGCCCACGGCUCAACCGUGGAGGGUCAUUGGAAACUGUUAAACUUGAGUGCAGGAGAGAAAAGUGGAAUUCCACGUGUAGCGGUGAAAUGCGUAGAGAUGUGGAGGAACACCAGUGGCGAAGGCGACUCUCUGGUCUGUAACUGACGCUGAGGAGCGAAAGCGUGGGGAGCGAACAGGAUUAGAGACCCCAGUAGUCCCUGUCUCUUAUAA